UACCAGCCCCCUGAGUGAUAGGGACGAUUAUUUAGCCUAAAGCGUCCGUAGCCGGCUUAGCAAGUCUUUCGUUAAAUCUGACGACUUAAUCGUCAGGCCGCGGAAGAUACUGUUAUGCUAGAGGGCGGGAGAGGUUGACGGUAGUCCCUGGGUAGGGGUGAAAUCCUAUAAUCCUGGGAGGACCACCAAUGGCGAAGGCAGUCAACUAGAACGCGCCUGACGGUGAUGGACGAAAGCUGGGGGAGCAAACCGGAUUAGACACCCGGGUAGUCCCAGCUGUAAACGAUGCGGGCUAGGUGUUGGGGUAGCCACGUGCUGCUCCAGUGCCGCAGAGAAGUCGUUAAGCCCGCCGCUUGGGAAGUACGGCCGCAAGGCUGAAACUUAAAGGAAUUGGCGGGGGAGCACCACAAGGGGUGAAGCCUGCGGUUCAAUUGGAGUCAACGCCGGGAAACUUACCAGGGCUGACAGCAGAAUGAAGGCCAGAUUAAAGAUCUUGCCAGACAAGCUGAGAGGUGGUGCAUGGCCGUCGACAGUUCGUGCCGUGAGGUGUCCUGUUAAGUCAGGUAACGAGCGAGACCCUCACCAUUAGUUGCCAUCAGGUUCCAUAGGAACGCUGGGCACACUAAUGGGACCGCCACCGAUAAGGUGGAGGAAGGAGGGGGCCACGGCAGGUCAGUAUGCCCCGAAUGCCCUGGGCCACACGCGGGCUGCAAUGGUAGGGACAGAGGGUUUCUAACCUCGAAAGUGGAAAGUAAUCCCUAAACCCUAUCGUAGUUGGGAUUGAGGGCUGAAACCCGCCCUCAUGAACAUGGAAUCCCUAGUAAUCGCGCGUCAUCAUCGCGCGGUGAAUACGUCCCCGCUCCU
Molecule: ribosomal RNA, 864 nt
Filed under: uncultured archaeon
Lineage: Archaea
Description: SSU rRNA
Rfam family: Archaeal small subunit ribosomal RNA
Source: RNAcentral